AGGCCUUCGGGGUACACGAGCGGCGAACGGGUGAGUAACACGUGGGUGAUCUGCCUCGUACUUCGGGAUAAGCCUGGGAAACUGGGUCUAAUACCGGAUAUGACUACAGGAUGCAUGUCUUGUGGUGGAAAGAUUUAUCGGUGCGAGAUGGGCCCGCGGCCUAUCAGCUUGUUGGUGGGGUAAUGGCCUACCAAGGCGACGACGGGUAGCCGACCUGAGAGGGUGACCGGCCACACUGGGACUGAGACACGGCCCAGACUCCUACGGGAGGCAGCAGUGGGGAAUAUUGCACAAUGGGCGGAAGCCUGAUGCAGCGACGCCGCGUGAGGGAUGACGGCCUUCGGGUUGUAAACCUCUUUCGACAGGGACGAAGCGCAAGUGACGGUACCUGUAGAAGAAGCACCGGCCAACUACGUGCCAGCAGCCGCGGUAAUACGUAGGGUGCGAGCGUUGUCCGGAAUUACUGGGCGUAAAGAGCUUGUAGGCGGUUCGUCGCGUCGAUCGUGAAAACCUACCGCUCAACGGUGGGCUUGCGGUCGAUACGGGCGGACUAGAGUACUUCAGG
This 565-nucleotide ribosomal RNA is filed under the name Nocardia vinacea. RNAcentral describes it as "bacterial SSU rRNA". It matches the Rfam family "Bacterial small subunit ribosomal RNA", at positions 74 to 655 of the family's 1533-position model. Lineage: Bacteria; Bacillati; Actinomycetota; Actinomycetes; Mycobacteriales; Nocardiaceae. The record is from RNAcentral.